Molecule: ribosomal RNA, 445 nt
Filed under: uncultured bacterium
Lineage: Bacteria
Description: bacterial SSU rRNA
Rfam family: Bacterial small subunit ribosomal RNA
Source: RNAcentral
UCCAGACUCCUACGGGAGGCAGCAGUGGGGAAUAUUGCACAAUGGGGGAAACCCUGAUGCAGCGACGCCGCGUGAGCGAUGAAGUAUUUCGGUAUGUAAAGCUCUCCCAGCAGGGAAGAAGAUGACGGUACCUGACUAAGAAGCCCCGGCUAACUACGUGCCAGCAGCCGCGGUAAUACGUAGGGGGCAAGCGUUAUCCGGAUUUACUGGGUGUAAAGGGAGCGUAGACGGCGAUGCAAGCCAGAUGUGAAAGCCCGGGGCUCAACCCCCGAACUGCAUUUGAAACUGUUUCCCUUGAGUGUCGGAGAGGUAAUCGGAAUUCCUUGUGUAGCGGUGAAAUGCGUAGAUAUAAGGAAGAACACCAGUGGCGAAGGCGGAUUACUGGACGAUAACUGACGGUGAGGCGCGAAAGCGUGGGGAGCAAACAGGAUUAGAUACCCCAGUA